This 430-nucleotide long non-coding RNA is filed under the name Mus caroli (Ryukyu mouse). RNAcentral's name for it is "predicted gene, 36937 (MGP_CAROLIEiJ_G0002450.1)". Lineage: Eukaryota; Metazoa; Chordata; Mammalia; Rodentia; Muridae. The record is from RNAcentral.
AGUAGAGAUGGGCAUCGAGGCGGGCUGCGGCUUCUGCCAGUUCCCGAGCACUGCACGAGGGUGUGGGCACCUCAAAGGUUUCGUGGAAGCUGGCGUAGUCCACCUCAUAGAACCCAUCCUCCAGGGUGAGCACGGAUGUGAACCGGUGGCCCCACAACACUUCAUCCACCAGAGCCGCCUCCACCCACCCCCAAGCAUUCCCAGACAAUUGGCUGAACUGAUUACACCCCAGGAUUGAAAGCUCACCAUCUCAUUAAAAGUCCAGUCCUUUGUGCGAUGGUGCCAAUAGUCUUUACAAAUGUGUUUUACAUUUAUGUGUCUAUAUGCGUGCAUGUGUAUGUAUGUGGAGGUCAGAGGACAACUUGGGGAGACAGUUGACUCCUCAAUGUGAGACCUGGUAAUUCAACUCAGGUCAGUAGUCAGGCGUGGU